UACGGGGGAGCAAGCGUUGUUCGGAUUUACUGGGCGUAAAGGGCGCGUAGGCGGCGUGACAAGUCACUUGUGAAAUCUCCGGGCUUAACUCGGAGCGGCCAAGUGAUACUGUCGUGCUAGAGUGCGGAAGGGGCUACUGGAAUUCUCGGUGUAGCGGUGAAAUGCGUAGAUAUCGAGAGGAACACCUGCGGCGAAGGCGGGUUGCUGGGACGGUACUGACGCUGAGACGCGAAAGCGUGGGGAGCGAACAGG
Molecule: ribosomal RNA, 252 nt
Filed under: uncultured bacterium
Lineage: Bacteria
Description: partial 16S ribosomal RNA
Rfam family: Bacterial small subunit ribosomal RNA
Source: RNAcentral